This 2557-nucleotide long non-coding RNA is filed under the name Homo sapiens (human). RNAcentral describes it as "HSALNT0093370". Lineage: Eukaryota; Metazoa; Chordata; Mammalia; Primates; Hominidae. The record is from RNAcentral.
CCAGAUCUCUAAUCCAUCAUGACUUUAUGUAGCUACAUUCCUUUGCUGCUUUAUAAACUCCCAAUUUUAAUCAGUUGAGAGAGAUGGAUUUGAGACUGAUCGCCUCUCUCUCUAGCUGAUGUCACCUGAAUAAAAAGCCUUCUUCCCUGGCAAUACUCAUUGUUUCAGUGAUUGGCUUUCUGUGCAGGAAGCAACAGGGUCCUCCCCUGGUACUUCAGUAACAGAUUUUGGUUUCCUGACUGGGAAUGUGUUGCUCACAGUUCACUGGCCACAGGCCAGAAGAGUUUCAGAAGACCUCCUAGGCAGCUGCCUGUCUUUGUUUUUUUGGCCAAAGUCCACUGGAUGCUUCAGGUCUCCAGCCCAGCCCCAGGAGAGAAGUCAGUGACCCAGACCUAAGUCAACCAGUGCACAGCAUUUCCCCACAUCAGAGUCAAGAUGAAGAAGUGGGCAUGACCUAAAUCAGUUCAACCAGAAUUAAUCCCACAAGUUUUAUAGGAUCACCUGGAAAAGAGGCAGAGAGUAGUAAGUCUGUAAGGCUAGAACAGCUAUAGCAAUGCUACUGACCAUGGGGAAUUUAAUCCAGAUGAAGCAGAAAUGAGAGAUGGAGAGAAGAGAGUCCUGGUGAUCCCAUCUGAGCCCCUCCAUCAAACAUCCCUACUUGUAUUUUUCACUUUCAACUGCCAUUAAAUACUCCUUUUGCUAAGCCCAUUUUGGUUGGUUUUCUGUUACUAACCACUAAAAUUACUGGCUAUAAUGAUUUCAGAUAAGUCAGAUGUUACUAUAUGGAAAUCAAUAUUUAUCAAGCCAAUAUAAGCGUGUAUCAAUUAAUACUUCUAUCCCCAGAUUCUAUUUUCCUCUUAUACUAAACUUCAGGAAUUAUGAAUUCUUCCUGAACGUAAGACUACUAUUUUUUGUAGCUGUAACCUAAAGCACAUUGGACUAUUCCUUCUUGUCUUCUUAUAACCCCAAAAUAGGAAUUAUAAUUUCUUACUGAAAUUUCCCUAAAUUUUUUCUCACCAAAAUUUAGUUAAUUUUUCCCUAAAAUUUCUUUACUAUAUUUCACUGAAAUCUACUAUGUAGUAUUUUCUCUAGAUGAAAACUUUCCCUGAAAAUUGCAAGAAGUGAAAACAUUGGCUUUGAAAUGAUAGAUAAUUCAUAAACUAUUCUUAAGGAUUAUUCUCAGGAAUAAUUAUUUUGUCUGGCCUACAUAACCCUAAAUAGUGGUAAAAUAUACAGUAGUUUAAAACAUGGUUAGGGGCCCAAUCUAGAACAAAGAAAAACUGCCUGUGAGUAAAACAGUCAAACAUGUUUUAGACAUGUCUCGCAUCCACCAGUGUGAGUCGAGUGCAAAGGGUUACUGUAAACUGACCAGGUAUUAGCAGGUCAUCUUCAAACCCACAUCAACCCACCUCACCUCAGAGCCAGUUCUAGGACCCUCCACGGGUCAGCCUAAUUUCCCUUGGCCCAGCCCAAGCUGGCUCUUUCUCUUUGCACAGCAAUGCUCACACACCCUGGCCAAAAAAGCUUUCGAAGUAUUUCUUUUUGAAUGAGCAUAAAGUGCCUAUUGAGACCAAGAAAGCCUCCUUAUUGUGGGGUUGACCUUACCACUGUGUCCACAUUCCCCAGAGGUAUGGACAGUAGCUACAGCUGAGGAAAUGUCAUUCAGCAGUUUUUUGCGUAUGAAAUUUGAGAAAUUUGCAUGAUACAUGUGGAGCCAAUUGUUCAUAUCUAAGCAUAUUAGCUGUUUUUCUCCUGAGAACACAAAAAAGUUAUUGAGAGUGAAAAGAAGUCCCAUUGGAGGAGGGGAAACCUGAGGGGCCUCCCUGAGUACUAUUCACUGCAGGCCUCAUUUCAUUCCCAAUGACUUCUGUGGAAGCCAAUUUAAAGAAGGUCACAGGUAUUUACCUUUCUUCCCUGUCUGUUUCAAUCUGUUUUAUAGAGAAGGAGUGAAAAUGCCAAUGCCAAUGCUCAUUCUUGAGCCCUUGGUGCAUUCGUUCUGCAGAUUUUUUUAAUACAAGGGUAGACUUUUAAAACAACAAAAGAAAAUGUCAUUGGAAUAGACUUAAGCUUUACUUUGACUUAAGAUAGAUUUCAUUCCUUGGCUUAGACUGGAUUACAUUCACCUAGUCCUGUCAUUUCUUACUAAGGGAGGAGACCACCCCUCAUAGUGUAUUAUGCCCAAUUUCUGCCUCCAAAGAAAGAAGUAAAAACUAAAAGGCAGAAAUGAAAUCCACAAGCAGACAGCCCGGCACCACACCCUGGGCCUGGUAGUUAAAGAUCCACCCCUGACCUAAUCGGUUAUGUUAUCUAUAGAUUAUAGACAUUGUAUAGAAAAGCACUGUAAAAAUCCCUGUCCUGUUCUGUUCCGUUCUAGUUACCAGUGCAUGCAGCCCCCAGUCACGUACCCCCUGCUUGCUCAAUCGAUCACAACCCUCUCACACAGACCCCCUUAGAGUUGUGAGCCCUUAAAAGGGACAAGAAUUGCUCACUCAGGGAGCUCGGUUGUUGGAGACAUGAGUCUUGCCGAAGCUCCUGGCUGAAUAAAGCCCUUCCUUCU